AAAUUCUCAAAGCAAGUCUUUUGUUAAUUCAAUCGGCUCUGCUUUGGACUUGGGGGUCUGCAGAUUCACGUCUGCUCCUCUUAAAUGUAUUAGCUGGAUCUCCAUGAACUUGGUUCCACUCGGCGUGAUAAGUAUCACUCGCUGAGGACACCUGUAAAAAGGUGGCCAGGCUUGAGGAUGAGCCGCUUCUAAUAGUCCAUUGACUUGGACAAAUUAAAUUUAUG
Molecule: unclassified non-coding RNA, 224 nt
Filed under: uncultured Ceratobasidiaceae
Lineage: Eukaryota; Fungi; Basidiomycota; Agaricomycetes; Cantharellales; Ceratobasidiaceae
Also listed under: 1 other name
Description: sequence contains ITS2
Source: RNAcentral